This 187-nucleotide microRNA precursor is filed under the name Oryza rufipogon (brownbeard rice). RNAcentral describes it as "MIR812 microRNA precursor family". It matches the Rfam family "MIR812 microRNA precursor family". Lineage: Eukaryota; Viridiplantae; Streptophyta; Magnoliopsida; Poales; Poaceae. The record is from Rfam by way of RNAcentral.
AAUAAGUGCAGUUUUGCUUCAUGUUAAACGUUUGAAUUUAUUUUAUGAUUAGUAUCUUUACUGUUGUAGAUGAUAAAUUAUGAAUAAUAUUUUAUGUGUGACUAUUUUUUUAAAAAAAAAUUUCAUAAAUUUUUUAAAUAAGACGAAUGGUCAAAUGUUGAACACAAAUCCCACAGCUACACUUAUU